Molecule: unclassified non-coding RNA, 456 nt
Filed under: uncultured Clavulina
Lineage: Eukaryota; Fungi; Basidiomycota; Agaricomycetes; Cantharellales; Hydnaceae
Description: sequence contains ITS2
Rfam family: 5.8S ribosomal RNA (bases 1-154)
Source: RNAcentral
AACUUUCUGCAAUGUAUCUCUUGGCUCUCGCGUCGAUGAAGGACGCAGCGAAAUGCGAUAAGUAAUGUGAAUUGCAGAAUUCAGUGAAUCAUCGAAUCUUUGAACGCACCUUGCGCUCCCUGGUAUUCCUGGGAGCACGCCUGUUCGAGUGUCGCGAAAUUUCUCAAGCUUGGAUGGCUUUUUUGUCUGUCCUAAGCCUUGGUUGUUGGGCUUUGCCGUGUCCUUCAUUGGGACGGCUGGCCUUAAAAGCAUUAGCUGAUCCUUGUGUGGCACUGGUUCUACUCAGCGUGAUAACAGUCUGAUCGCUGAGGACAUCUUUUGGGAUGGCCAGUUCUCAUUUGGGUUGCUUCCAAACUUGGUUUUGCAGAUUCUUCAAUCUGUGUUCCACUUUUCAGCUUUGACCUCGAAUCAGGUGGGACUACCCGCUGAACUUAAGCAUAUCAAUAAGCGGAGGCU